Molecule: ribosomal RNA, 450 nt
Filed under: uncultured bacterium
Lineage: Bacteria
Description: partial 16S ribosomal RNA
Rfam family: Bacterial small subunit ribosomal RNA
Source: RNAcentral
GUGGGGAAUAUUGGACAAUGGGCGAAAGCCUGAUCCAGCCAUGCCGCGUGUGUGAAGAAGGUCUUCGGAUUGUAAAGCACUUUAAGUUGGGAGGAAGGGCAGUAAGUUAAUACCUUGCUGUUUUGACGUUACCGACAGAAUAAGCACCGGCUAACUUCGUGCCAGCAGCCGCGGUAAUACGAAGGGUGCAAGCGUUAAUCGGAAUUACUGGGCGUAAAGCGCGCGUAGGUGGUGUUGUAAGUUGGAGGUGAAAUCACCGGGCUCAACCUGGGAACUGCCACCAAAACUGCGUGACUAGAGUACGGUAGAGGGUAGUAGAAUUGCCUGUGGAGCGGUGAAAUGCGUAGAUAUAGGAAGGAACACCAGUGGCGAAGGCGACUACCUGGACUGAUACUGGCACUGAGGUGCGAAAGCGUGGGGAGCAAACAGGAUUAGAAACCCCUGUAGUCC